GAUGAACGCUCGCGAUAGGCUUAACACAUGCAAGUCGAGGGGCAGCACAAGGUAGCUUGCUAUCUGGGUGGCGACCGGCGCACGGGUGCGUAACGCGUAUGCAACUUGCCCUAUACAGGAGGAUAACCCGUCGAAAGACGGACUAAUACUGCGCAUGCUCACAACUUGGCAUCAAGUGGUGAGGAAAGAAAUUCGGUAUAGGAUAGGCAUGCGUCCCAUUAGCUUGUUGGUGAGGUAACGGCUCACCAAGGCAACGAUGGGUAGGGGAACUGAGAGGUUUAUCCCCCACACUGGUACUGAGACACGGACCAGACUCCUACGGGAGGCAGCAGUGAGGAAUAUUGGUCAAUGGGCGCGAGCCUGAACCAGCCAAGUCGCGUGAAGGAUGACUGUCUUAUGGAUUGUAAACUUCUUUUAUACGGGAAUAACAAGAGUCACGUGUGACUCCCUGCAUGUACCGUAUGAAUAAGCAUCGGCUAACUCCGUG
Molecule: ribosomal RNA, 487 nt
Filed under: uncultured bacterium
Lineage: Bacteria
Description: partial 16S ribosomal RNA
Rfam family: Bacterial small subunit ribosomal RNA
Source: RNAcentral